Molecule: long non-coding RNA, 1043 nt
Organism: Microplitis mediator
Lineage: Eukaryota; Metazoa; Arthropoda; Insecta; Hymenoptera; Braconidae
Exons: 3
Source: RefSeq, a predicted model, not a curated record
CGCACUAAAUAUCACGUCAGCAUUUUUUUUAAUAAGUAAUAAAGGAACCACAAAAAAAACGUUUUAACGUAUAUUUUAGAAAUAAAUUUAUCGGUUUUAUUAAAGGUGAUUUUAUAAAUUUUAGCACUAUGUCUGAGCGCGUAAAAAGAUAUCGAGUAAUAAAGGAAGUGAUGAACAAUAAAAAACUACAAAACAACAUAUUUCUUAAGUUGAGUAGUAGUGCGUGUGUGUGAACACGUGAGCCUGUUUAUAAAGUACUACGCAUAACCUCAAAAUUCUAAUUUAACAUUUUUUUUAUUUAUUCAAAGUGUUCGUGUGUCGAUGUAACUUGUUGCUAAUAAUUAACGGCUAAAUAAUUAGCUAGUAAUAAUAAAUAAUUUCGAUGGCAAAGAAAAAAUAAAUAAAUAGAUAAAUCACUGAUAAUUAUUAAAAAAUAAAUAAACGGCGCAAUAAAAUUACAAAAAUAAUUUCCAGACAUAAUAUGGCUGAUGGUGAUAAUGGAAGCAAUGAACUAAGGAAAUAUGCCGUGGUUUGUUUUUUACCGAGUAGGAAUGAUGGUCUAGAUGAAAUAAAUUUGGUGCCGUAUUCUUGGCUCGAUGACAAACUUAUGUGUGCUUAUCAUUAAUUUUGGUUCGACCAACGGGUUCAAUUGCUUAAGAGAGGUCGUUCACGAAAAAUUUGGAGACUCUGAACAAAGUAAGACUUUAUCAACUAGACUUAGUACCUUCUUGGCAAACGCAGGUGAUAGAAAUGGAAGUCGGGCGCAACGCACAAAAAAUUAAUUUAAGAUAACGUUUAUUUAAAUCAUUAGCACUUACUACUCUAUUACUUCUAAUUAUGAUUAUUUCAUACUAUUAUUAUACUAUUAUAAUAAUUAAUAUUAGGUAAUAUUACUACUUAUAACUAUUAUUAUGUACUCUUUACUAUUACUUAUUGUUGUGUUGCAAUAUUAUUUUUAAUUAUUGUAUUCUUAUAACUUUAAACUAUGAAUAUUAUAAUCUUAUAAUACCAAUUAUUUCACAUUUAAAAUAAUCAAUAAAACU